Pongo abelii (Sumatran orangutan) is the source of this 102-nucleotide Y RNA. It matches the Rfam family "Y RNA". From Rfam's summary of the family: Y RNAs are components of the Ro ribonucleoprotein particle (Ro RNP), in association with Ro60 and La proteins. The Y RNAs and Ro60 and La proteins are well conserved, but the function of the Ro RNP is not known. In humans the RNA component can be one of four small RNAs -- hY1, hY3, hY4 and hY5. NCBI's taxonomy places the organism in Eukaryota, Metazoa, Chordata, Mammalia, Primates, Hominidae. The record is from Ensembl.
GGCUGGUCUGAGUGCAAUUGCAUUUACAACUAAUUGAUCAUAACCAAUUACAGAUUUCUUUGUUCAUUCUCCAUUCCCACUGCUUCACUCGACUAGCCUUAA